AUACAUCUAAAAAAAAAGAAGAAACCCAAAGAGAGGAAGAGAAGGAAAGAGGUUAAGAGAGCAGCAAGGCUGAUAGAAGAAGAAAUAGGAGGGUGAUUUUCGUGAAGGCUAAGCUAAAAGAUGGGAGAAUCAUCCAAUGGAAGGUAAGAUCAAUUCACUCUUGAAACCCGAAUUAGAAAUGAGUAUUAUAAUUUCCUAUAUCAUGGAUAUAGAUUUUUAGCAAGUUUUGUAUGUGCAUUUCGUAUGAUUUCGAUGUGAUGGUGAAGAAUAUUCUUGUGCUU
Molecule: long non-coding RNA, 281 nt
Filed under: Carica papaya (papaya)
Lineage: Eukaryota; Viridiplantae; Streptophyta; Magnoliopsida; Brassicales; Caricaceae
Description: long non-coding RNA (CPAP_LNC015182)
Source: RNAcentral